This is a long non-coding RNA of Lycium barbarum (goji berry), 810 nucleotides long. RefSeq lists it as uncharacterized. The transcript has 3 exons. Lineage: Eukaryota; Viridiplantae; Streptophyta; Magnoliopsida; Solanales; Solanaceae. The record is from RefSeq and is a predicted model, not a curated record.
GGGCUAGUGAAAAAAAAAAAGAACAAGAGGCCCAAAUAAAAGGGGUGGCCGGUCAUGGUUAUGGAAAAAGGCCCAAGCCCAAGUAAAAUUUAAGACCAUGGAAAUAAAUAACAAAGAAGGGGCCAUUCUUUCUUCAACACCAUAGAACUUUCAAGAACAAGAGAGAGAAAGAGCAAGAAAAAAAAAAGGGCACUCGGCCUCUUUAAAAACAAAAAUAAAAAAAAUUGGAGCCUUAAUCCUUGGUUUAAAAUUCAUCUCUUUGAAUUCCUAUUAAGUUGGAAACCCUUUUCAAUGUGAUACAAAUUUGGAGGCAAGAAAGUACUUUUUUUACAAAGAGGAGAAUUUGGAAAAGAUAUUGGAGAGCCCGAGAUUUGAGUCGGGAUUUGUUUGGCGAGUGAUCGAGAUUUGGUAGUGAGCGAUUGAGGUACAGACGUUUGUUCUGGUGACCCGCUAGUGUAGGAUACAUUCUGCUACUUUGGAGUGCUCCUUUGACUCGGAGCCCAUACUUUUGGUAAAGACCUUUCAUGGUAUAUGUCUCUGUAUAUAUGUAUGACUAUCUGGGGUACGGCGGGGCCCUGUCCCGUCAUAUGUUCUGUUAUGUUUUGUAGAGGCCUGUAGCCAUGUAUGUGGGCCAUGGGUCAUGUUUGUUCGUUUGUGAUUAUGAUUUGCGUCUUAAUGCGGCCCCGUUUACUAUUAUGGCCAAAACGGCCCAUUUGUCUGUAUAUGUAUAUAUAUAUCUGGCGAUGUGUAUUCCGCCAAUCUAUUGGAUUUGGAUAUGAUGUUUCUAUACGGGCGACCGCUUAAGAUGAU